RNAcentral lists this ribosomal RNA (336 nucleotides) under embryophyte environmental sample. RNAcentral's name for it is "eukaryotic LSU rRNA". The record is from RNAcentral. Lineage: Eukaryota; Viridiplantae; Streptophyta.
ACGCAAGGUUGCGCCCGAAGCCUUUAGGUCGAGGGCACGCCUGCCUGGGCGUCACGCAUCGCGUCUCCCCCCACCCCCCUUCAGUGGGAGGGGCGGAGGAUGAUGGCCUCCCAUGCCUCACCGGGUGUGGAUGGCCUAAAUACGGAGCCCCCGGUUAUGAAGUGCCGCGGCAUAGGUGAGAUACAAGGCCUAGCCUAGGAUACAUCGGAGUCGUGCACUUUUUAGCUUUUGAGGACUCGCAGGACCCUAAGUUUGCUUGCCCAUUGGGGCAUCAAAACCGUUGCGACCCCAGGUCAGGCGGGGCUACCCGCUGAGUUUAAGCAUAUCAAUAAGCGG